This 801-nucleotide long non-coding RNA is filed under the name Homo sapiens (human). RNAcentral describes it as "HSALNT0023133". Lineage: Eukaryota; Metazoa; Chordata; Mammalia; Primates; Hominidae. The record is from RNAcentral.
UUUCAGUAGAGACAGGAUUUCACCAUGUUGGCCAGGCUGGCCACAAACUCCUGACCUCCAGUGAUUCACCAGCCUUAGCCUCCCAAACUGUUGGGAUUACAGGCAUGAGCCACUGCACCCGGCCUUGUUUAUUUUUACUUCUUUGGGCUAUUUUUGAGGUAUUGGCAGACCAAAACUCUGUAUUGGUCCAUUUUCACACUGCUAUAAAGAACUACCUGAGACUGGGUAAUUUAUAAAGAAAAGAGGUUGAAUUGACUCACAGUUCCACAGGCUGUACAGGAGGGAUGGUUGGGGAAGUUUCAGGAAACAUAUAAUCACGGCAGAAGGUGAAGGAGAAGCAAGUAUGUCUUCACAUGGCUGCAGGAGAGAGAGGGAGAGCAAAGUGGGAGGUGCUACACGCUUUCAAACAACCAGAUCUCAUGAGAACUCUAUCAUGAGACAGGACAUGGGGGAUGGUGAUAAACCGUUAGAAACCACCCUCAUGAUCCGAUCACCUCCACCACCAGGCCCCACCUCUGACACCGGAAAUUAUAAUUCAACACAAGAUUUGGGUGGGGACACAGAGCCAAACCAUAUCAAACUCUGUGAGAAAAUUUCAAACUGCCAUCUUAGGUGGGACAAACCCUGUGGUGUCGUCAUGUUCUGGGACUCGGCUGAAGGGACUCGGCCCCAUGGGACUCGGCUGAAGAAACCAGUCUCCAGCUAAGACGACAGCCUUUCCCUCACAUCCUUCCCUUGUCCUAUCUUCCCUCCCACACCCGUUUCUCUCCAGCAUACCUUGUUCAUAAAUGAAGUGCUGCA